GCGCCUGUAGCUCAACUGGAGAGAGCACCUGCCUUCUAAGCAGGGGGUUGCCUGUUCGAUUCAGGCCAGGCGCG
This 74-nucleotide transfer RNA is filed under the name Candidatus Omnitrophota bacterium. RNAcentral's name for it is "tRNA-Arg". It matches the Rfam family "tRNA". Rfam says of the family: Transfer RNA (tRNA) molecules are approximately 80 nucleotides in length. Their secondary structure includes four short double-helical elements and three loops (D, anti-codon, and T loops). Further hydrogen bonds mediate the characteristic L-shaped molecular structure. tRNAs have two regions of fundamental functional importance: the anti-codon, which is responsible for specific mRNA codon recognition, and the 3' end, to which the tRNAs corresponding amino acid is attached (by aminoacyl-tRNA synthetases). tRNAs cope with the degeneracy of the genetic code in two manners: having more than one tRNA (with a specific anti-codon) for a particular amino acid; and 'wobble' base-pairing, i.e. permitting non-standard base-pairing at the 3rd anti-codon position. Lineage: Bacteria; Pseudomonadati; Candidatus Omnitrophota. The record is from RNAcentral.